Molecule: ribosomal RNA, 675 nt
Filed under: uncultured bacterium
Lineage: Bacteria
Description: bacterial SSU rRNA
Rfam family: Bacterial small subunit ribosomal RNA
Source: RNAcentral
GCCUCUUGGACUGGGACAACUGUUGGAAACGACAGCUAAUACCGGAUAUUAUGAGAUUCUCGCAUGAGAAAUUUAUGAAAGCUAUAUGCGCCAAGAGAGAGCCUUGCGUUCCAUUAGCUAGUUGGUGGGGUAACGGCCCACCAAGGCGACGAUGGAUAGCCGGCCUGAGAGGGUGAACGGCCACAAGGGGACUGAGACACGGCCCUUACUCCUACGGGAGGCAGCAGUGGGGAAUAUUGGACAAUGGGCCACAAGCCUGAUCCAGCAAUUCUGUGUGCACGAUGAAGGUCUUCGGAUUGUAAAGUGCUUUCAGUUGGGAAGAAGAAAGUGACGGUACCAACAGAAGAAGCGACGGCUAAAUACGUGCCAGCAGCCGCGGUAAUACGUAUGUCGCAAGCGUUAUCCGGAUUUAUUGGGCGUAAAGCGCGUCUAGGCGGAAAAAUAAGUCUGAUGUUAAAAUGCGGGGCUCAACUCCGUAUUGCGUUGGAAACUGUUUUUCUAGAGUACUGGAGAGGUGGGCGGAACUACAAGUGUAGAGGUGAAAUUCGUAGAUAUUUGUAGGAAUGCCGAUGGAGAAGUCAGCUCACUGGACAGAUACUGACGCUGAAGCGCGAAAGCGUGGGGAGCAAACAGGAUUAGAUACCCUGGUAGUCCACGCCGUAAACGAUGAUCACU